Long non-coding RNA from Eriocheir sinensis (Chinese mitten crab), 3075 nucleotides. RefSeq lists it as uncharacterized. The transcript has 5 exons. NCBI's taxonomy places the organism in Eukaryota, Metazoa, Arthropoda, Malacostraca, Decapoda, Varunidae. The record is from RefSeq and is a predicted model, not a curated record.
AGAACGGGUGUUUUCCGUUCUGCGUUUGAGUCUGCCGUCUUUGGGCGUCUCCCUCUGAGAUGUCGGUUAGGAUUUCUUUUUUUUAUAUGUCCGUGUGUGUAACUGUUGCCUUUUAGCCUGUUGUGUUCCUGAGCAGCAAGAAGAGGCGGCUGUGGUGACCCGCCCGAUGCGGAAGGCUUCUGGGCCCUGUCGGCGGGGGCGCACCUCUCUGGCUGACUGGUUGACCAGGCUUUGACCAGGUGGCCGGGGAGGCGCAUCCUCGCUGGGCGGGGUCUGGGGGCCCUCCGUCUUGGGGAGGUCGCUGCAGCAGGAGGAGGUAACUACUGCUGGUUUUGUAAGGCAUUGUGGUUGAGAGCACCUUGCAGCUGUAACGCGAAUUUCGUUCCGUAAUAAACAAUGUACCGCCAUGCUGCCUGUCCUUCCUCCCUCCCAGCACUGUGUACGUCUGUGUGUGCGUGUGUGUUGCUUGAUUCUCCCUCACUGCACUGUGCGUACGUCUGUGUGUGUGUGUUGCUUAAUUCUCCCUCCCAGCACUGUGUACGUCUGUGUGUGUGUGUUGCUUAAUUCUCCCUCCCAGCACUGUGUACGUCUGUGUGUGUGUGUUGCUUAAUUCUCCCUCCCAGCACUGUGUACGUCUGUGUGUGUGUGUUGCUUAAUUCUCCCUCACUGCACUGUGUACGUCUGUGUGUGCGUGUGUGUUGCUUAAUUCUCCCUCCCAGCACUGUGUACGUCUGUGUGUGUGUGUUGCUUAAUUCUCCCUCACUGCACUGUGCGUACGUCUGUGUGUGUGUGUGUGUUGCUUAAUUCUCCCUCCCAGCACUGUGUACGUCUGUGUGUGUGUGUGUGUGUUGCUUAAUUCUCCCUCACUGCACUGUGCGUACGUCUGUGUGUGUGUGUUGCUCUGUCUCUCUCUCUCAAUCUCUCUCUCUGUCUCUGUCUCUCUCUGUCUGUCUCUCUAUCUCUCAAUCUCUCUCUGUGUCUUUCUCUCUCUCUAGUUAGUAAAGAACGGGCAACGUUUGCCAUGGAAGACUCUACAGUAUACAUAAGAGUCUACAGUGUACAUCCCAACCCUCUACGGCCGUUGCUGCUCCACCCGGGCAUUACCACAUCCACCCGGGUCUACAAGAAACCUCCACGGCCGAGCCUCAACCACAGAACACACCGCUACCGUUGAUGAGGUUCCACGCCCCGGACUACCGCCAUGUUAGCCUCCAUAAUAGUCCUCGGCGCACUUGUUCUGAGACGUCCUGACUGGAGAGCUACACAACACUGGUCAUCCGCUGAGUGGUUGAAUUCCUGGUCUACCGGCCCCUGGAGGAGUGGUUGAUUGCCUGGUCUACUGUGGAUAUGAGUGGUUGAUUCCCUGGUCUACCCCUGGAUGACGCGGCUGUUCCUAUGCAGGGGAAGACUCACACAAGCGAUAAGGUAAGGUUUUAAUGGCUGGGUUUACAAGAGGUUUUAAUGGCUGGGUUUACAAGAGGUUUUAAUGGCUGGGUUUACAAGAGGUUUUAAUGGCUGGGUUUACAAGAGGUUUUAAUGGCUGGGUUUACAAGAGGUUUUAAUGGCUGGGUUUACAAGAGGUUUUAAUGGCUGGGUUUACAAGAGGUUUUAAUGGCUGGGUUUACAAGAGGUUUUAAUGGCUGGGUUUACAAGAGGUUUUAAUGGCUGGGUUUACAAGAGGUUUUAAUGGCUGGGUUUACAAGAGGUUUUAAUGGCUGGGUUUACAAGAGGUUUUAAUGGCUGGGUUUACAAGAGGUUUUAAUGGCUGGGUUUACAAGAGGUUUUAAUGGCUGGGUUUACAAGAGGUUUUAAUGGCUGGGUUUACAAGAGGUUUUAAUGGCUGGGUUUACAAGAGGUUUUAAUGGCUGGGUUUACAAGAAGUUUUAAUGGCUGGGUUUACAAGAGGUUUUAAUGGCUGGGUUUACAAGAGGUUUUAAUGGCUGGGUUUACAAGAGGUUUUAAUGGCUGGGUUUACAAGAGGUUUUAAUGGCUGGGUUUACAAGAGGUUUUAAUAGCUGGGUUUACAAGAGGUUUUAAUGUCUGGGUUCAAGAGAGGUUUUAAUAGCUGCAUGGGUUUACAAGAGGUUUUAAUGGCUGGGUUUACAAGAUGUUUUAAUGGCUGGGUUUACAAGAUGUUUUAAUGGCUGGGUUUACAAGAUGUUUUAAUGGCUGGGUUUACAAGAUGUUUUAAUAGCUGGGUUUACAAGAGGUUUUAAUAGCUGGGUUUACAAGAGGUUUUAAUGGCUGGGUUUACAAGAGGUUUUAAUAGCUGGGUUUACAAGAGGUUUUAAUGUCUGGGUUCAAGAGAGGUUUUAAUAGCUGCAUGGGUUUACAAGAGGUUUUAAUGGCUGGGUUUACAAGAUGUUUUAAUGGCUGGGUUUACAAGAUGUUUUAAUAGCUGGGUUUACAAGAGGUUUUAAUAGCUGGGUUUACAAGAGGUUUUAAUGGUACAUAUCUACUGAAUGUUUCUGUGUUAUGUAUCUUGACAUGCUCUCAGGGUAAGGAGCGUUCUGAUAUGGUCCCUUCCCUCCCCAGCACCUGUCGGACCUGGAGACUCCCCCCUGAGCCUGACGGUGGAGCUGUGGGCCCUGCACCAGACCCCCACACCCCCCCACACCACCCACAGCAGGGGCAGGGCGUUGAGACUCCCCCCACAGGCUAAGACAGGGAGGGACUUGAAGAUCCGGGUUUUUGUCAUCUGCACAGGAAUUGACACAUGACCCGCUGCGUGUUCUGCUGGAGAAAAACACUGCAUGACUGUUGUUGGGAGGAGACACAGCAUGAAGGCUUCCAGGAGCUGCAAGACAUCCUUGUGGGCGCCUGCUGGUCAUUAUGAUGGAGCGUCGGCAGAGAUCGAGCUGGCGGAAGGCUGGCGGCCGGGUCAAGCUCACCACUGACAUGCGCUCGGCCGAUGUUGUUGACCUCGGCCACAUCAAUGUUACUAAGGUGGUGGAGGUGGGGAACGGCAUCUACAUUGACGACGGACCCAAGGAGAUCGCUGAGACUACUACUACUACUAUUACUAUUGCUAUCCUCUAUACUGCUAUGUGUACUAUUAAAUCCUCUUUACUGCUA